Long non-coding RNA from Monodelphis domestica (gray short-tailed opossum), 827 nucleotides. RefSeq lists it as uncharacterized. Lineage: Eukaryota; Metazoa; Chordata; Mammalia; Didelphimorphia; Didelphidae. The record is from RefSeq and is a predicted model, not a curated record.
UAGGAGACAAGGAAGAUAUAUAAGGAAGGAAUCAUUUGACAGUUGGGCUUUUACCACUGGACCUGGAGGGAGUAGUAGCCUCUCGCAGUCAAGGGCCACUUCUGACAGUUUGACUACUGACAGUUGGGAUGGAGAAAAACAAAUUUAAAGAGUUCGUAGGUUUGAUUUUGGCUAUUUUUUUUUCAUCCAGCAACUGUAUGAAUUAACCUCAUAGAGACACGUGUGAAAAGAAACACAAGAAUCUGUUCUCACCAGAUGGUUGGGGGGAGGCAGUCUGUGCUUCUACAGGCUGCCUUCUCCCUCCUCCCCAGCCUGCUUCCAAAAUUAGGGUGUCUGGAGAAUGCGAAACAAAAUUAUACAAAGACCUGACCUCUGGCCUCGCUGCUGUCUUUCAGUCUGUGAAGUACCCAAGAGAGAGAGUGUUGAAUUUGGCCUCACUUCACAUGGCAUUAACUGUAAUCUUUGUGAAUUGUGGUGACAUCAUGGCAUACUUUGACAUCACCGCUUAGGCUCCCUUCUGCUGCUGGGCAUACAGUUGAGAAUUUCUAUUCAAACACAAGCCUCUUUUGUAAAGGAGACAGGAGAGCAGCUGGUCUUCUGCCCUGGUACAAAUGUGGCUCCCACUGGAAUGUAUCCAUACAAGCAGAGAGCACUCACAAAGCAGUCAUUCUGUUGCUGUGGUCAGACACGCUCACGCACGCAUGCACGCACAUACAAGGGGAACCCCUAUAAAAUAACACAAGAAAAUUUGUAUUUUCUAGUUCAAAACCCUAGACCAUGCCACCAUUCAGCUGAGUUUUGUGGACAAUAAAGAUCUCACUAAAAGG